This 289-nucleotide ribosomal RNA is filed under the name uncultured bacterium. RNAcentral's name for it is "partial 16S ribosomal RNA". It matches the Rfam family "Bacterial small subunit ribosomal RNA", at positions 773 to 1060 of the family's 1533-position model. The record is from RNAcentral.
GUGGAUUAGAUACCCGAGUAGUCCACGCCCUAAACGAUGUCAACUAGUUGUCGGGGAUUCAUUUCCUUGGUAACGCAGCUAACGCGUGAAGUUGACCGCCUGGGGAGUACGGCCGCAAGGUUAAAACUCAAAGGAAUUGACGGGGACCCGCACAAGCGGUGGAUGAUGUGGAUUAAUUCGAUGCAACGCGAAAAACCUUACCUACGCUUGACAUGCCAGGAACUUUCCAGAGAUGGAUUGGUGCCCGAAAGGGAACCUGGACACAGGUGCUGCAUGGCCGUCGCCAACU